CUUUCCUACGCUAAAAACCACUGAGUGGAGUAUUUAGUACACAGGAAGUCGGCCAGAGAAACAUUUCUCAUAUUUGAAGGCCGGAAAGAGGGACAUUUCUGACACCGGAAGUCAGUGAGAGGACUCUUUCCCACACAGGAAGUCAGCUAGAGAGCCGUCUCCCCUCUCUGGAGCCGAGAGAGGCCGGUUUCCCCCACCGUAGCCCACCUGGGAGGAAUUUUCCAGAGAUCACUGUCUGAUGACCCUGUCUUGGAAUUGGAGCCAUGCAAGUUACACUGACCACGUUUGGGUUGGGAUAUUGAGGAGGUUAUGGUUAAAAGCAUACGAUGGGAGAUCAUAUUGUACUUGCGAGUGAGACCCGGCUGGAGGAAUGUUUUAAUUCUUCGGAAAUACCAAGUGGUCUCUACAGAACACUGAAGAUUCUGCUCUCAGGGUGUUGAUUGACGUCUGGAAGGCAGAGACUCGUGGAUUAGCAAGCAUGUGUAAGAAAGUGCUCUGGAUGCCACAGGGUGGUAAUUUGUGCAUGGAAAAUGGCUGGGGUGAAGAGGAGACUAGGCUUUAUCUUGUCAGGUGGUCUCUGUGGUUCCAGUACCCAUGAGGGAGCUGAGUCUGAAGGACCUUGGAGCUUUGCAGAUAUAAAGAAAAAGCUGAUUUAAGCUUCCCCAGUUUUCCCUGCCCCCUUCAUGAAAGAAUUACAGCAUAUAAUAAGAAAAAUCUGGAGAAACACUUAUUUUUAUGGAGGGCUGGAGGACCCCAAGGUCAAACAGUGAAUGGGACUGAACAAAAGGUAAGGAUGUGACUCACCCAUUCAGUAAAACUUGUUGAUGCCACAGUGAAAUUUCCCGCCUAGUGCACUAGCUAGAAAUGCAAAAGGCACUCACCGUGGAGUGUAAUAAGUGGGGGUUAAACACAUGCUAUGGAGGAGAACAGAAGGGGAACCCACACUGGUGACACCAGGCAUGGCUUCCUGAAGAAAGUGGCCUCUAAGCUGAUACUUGUAGGAUGUGGAGGAGCUAGCCAGGAGAGUGGGCAAUGGAGUUGAAAGAAACUUCUUGUCAGAGGGGAAAAGCAUGUGCAAAGGUCCUGAGGUGAGAGAGAGCAUGUCCACUCAGGGAAGUGAAGGAAGUCCAGUCUGGUGAGAGUGUUAAGUCUGAGAGAAAGACUAGAUAGAACGAGGCUCGGAGGUCUCCUAAUUUUCAUCCCCUGAACUUUAUGCAGUUGUAAUUUUAAGGUCAUUUGUGACAUUAUUCAGUGUUUCCCUCACUGAAUUGUGAGCUCAUAAGGGCAGUAGUUGUGUCUGUCUUGGUCAAAGCUGAAUCCCCAGGACCUAGCAUGGUGCUUAGCAGCUAUAAAUAGUGUUGAAUGAAUGAACGAGUAAGGUUAGAGAGGCAGGCAUGAGCCAGAUCCUGAAUUGAUUUGAAUGCCAUGGUAAAUUGCUGAGCUUCUUUCCACUGUGGGUGGCCGGGAGCUGGACUGGGCUCUAUUUCAGGCUACAAGAGGAUCAAGUAGACAUUUGGUGGUGGAGUGGGGCCAUGAAAAAAAAAAAAAAAAACACUUUGAUAGGACACCCUUAGCAGACAGGGACUAUCACAGGAGUCCUAUAUUUAGAGCUUAAAUAACCAAGAGUGGCUGGCUCUUGCCUGCCGUGGCAUUUACUGAUUAUGGUCACUCCCUGGCUAAAAUUCAGGGCAUGUGCCUGUCUCUGAGGCCCACCAGGUGUCUCUUUCAGCCCUGAUGGGCUGUUUGUUGAGGGUACAGCCUGUGUGUUUCAUCUUGAGCUGUCGUCCACAGUGUCCUAAGGCCACUAGAAGUGCUAACCCAGAGUCCAUUCCAAGUCAUGUCGAAUUUAUCUCUUGGGGUGACUGGGCAGUUGGAGGAAACACCCUGUAUUGUAAUUGGCUUUGGACACUGAGCAUGGUGCCUGGCACAGAGUAGGCACUCAGCAAAUUCUUUCUGAAUUAUGAGUGAAUGCCUGCUAUAAAUGAAUCCUUAGAUAUCAUUAAAUUCCAACAUGCAACGGACAGAUGAGGAAGUCGAGGCCCAGAGAAGAGCCUUGAUCAGGGUCCCACUGCGAAUGGUCAGGGAACACAAGUCUAGAGCCCCUGACCCGUGUCCUUUGUCCUAUUGUGAUUGUAAAUGGUAAAAGUAAAAGUAGAUGGGCAUCUCCUGCCAGUGAGUUCUAUCUAAUCCCUCCCAUUCCAUUUCACCCCCCCAUCCCACCCCCACCUCAUCCCAUCCCAUCUCACCCCAUCUCAUCCCACCCCAUCCAUCCCAUCCCACCCCAUCGCCUCUCAUCUCCUCCCACUCCACCCCUCUCAUCUCCUCCCACUCCACUCUAUCCCAUCCCAUCCCAUCCCAUCCCAUCCCAUCCCAUCCUAUCCCACCCCAUGUUUCUCCACUCUACUUCAUCCCAUGCUGUCCCACCCCUACUUUCAUCUUCACUCCCCUUCCCCUUAUUUCUUCCCUGUUCCUUUCCCUCACAUUUCCCCCAUCCCAUUCCAAACAUUUCCAUCCUUUCCCAUCCCUUUUCCUUCCACUCCAUCCCUUUCCAUCCCAUUCAGUCUCACUCCAUCCUUCCCUUUCCACCUCAACCCUUGACAUCCCUCCCCACCUCAUUUCAUCCUAUCCCAUGCCUUCUCAUCCCACCCCCUCUCAUCCCAGCCCUCCCCUUCCCACCCCACCCCAUCCCAUCCCACCCCAUAUCCUUUCAAUCCUGCAACUAUCCCAUUCCACACCAUCUCACCCCACUCCAUUCUUUUCUGCUUCGCUCUACUCCAUUCCAUUCCAUUUCACUCCACUUUAUUCCACCCUUCCCAUUUCAUCUUAUUCUAUUGUAUUAUAUUUUUUGUACCAUCUCGUUCCAUUUGAAUCCACUCCAUUCCAUUCUACUCCAUUGCAUUUUAUUCCAUACAUUCCAUCAUUUCCACUUCAUCCCUUCCAUUCUACCACAAUCAAUGUCAUCCCUAUUCAUCCCAUUCAUAUCUUUCAUGCUUAGAAGUAUUUACCGUGUGCCUCCAAGAUGCCAAACCCUGAAUUUCUCAGGAUGAAAAGCAGGCUUUGAUUUUGGAGACAAAGAACACGUUGCUUGACAAGGUGUCUGAUCCAUCUCUCUGCUGCAUCCUUCAGCUUAGCCUGUCAAUAAACCCAGGAGCAAAAGGAUCUUAUGAUUGUCCAUUCACUGAUAAGCAGAACUUUGGUUCCCAUUUGGGUAUAAUUUUGGGGUUGUAUUGCAGGGAGUCUCAGCAGAAGAGUGAGUGGGUAGUCAUCAAAUCCUUUCCUAAACUUUAUCCCUCAUUCUUGAGGAAUGCUCAGGCCAGUUUCUCACUUGCAUUCCUGUUCUCCUGUGGGGAUGGGGAGCUUUCCAGAUCCUAGAGUCUCAGGAGGGACCCAGAUGGUCUGCUGAGCUGUGUGUGAUUUCCUCCCCUAAUGGCCUUUGCCCAACCCCGGUUGGGUUUCUUCUCCCCACAGGCUGCCCUUUUCCCUCCAUCCCACUUUUCCUGCAGCACAUUCUCUGCCUGGAAGCUUGUUGGCCAUGCUCAGAUGGGAUUCCCUCACACGUGCACCCAAUCCAUCCUCAAGUCCACUCUGCCUCAUUAAAGGCUGGGUAUUUACAUGAGCUGCUGCUGUGUUUCUAGCACGCCCCCUGUGCUUGGACCCCAAGCUCGUCCGGAAGACCCCCUAAGAUGCAGUGGCUCUCUGCCUUCUCUUGGCUGCCCCCUCUUCCCCAGCCUUCCCCAGGUCGUCUCCUGCUUGCCCUUGAGUCUCCUGGGCUUGGGAAGGGGAAAGCACCUGGCACAUAAUUGCUGCUUAAUAAACGAAUCCAUCCUCAUUAGGGCUUGAUUGGUCAUUAGCCUCAUUAUCCAGCAGCAGAGGGCUGGGGAAGUUUUCAGAAUGCCGGUGCAGAGGGAGACCAGUCGGGGCGUGGACUCUAAUCUCUAUUUUGUGGACAGGACAACAUCCAGAGGUGUCCAGAAAGAAGGUGGCCUUGACCAGAAUUCCUCAGCCUUGGCUGCACAUGAGAACCAGUGAGGGAGCCCUAAAAACGCUGAUGCCCAGGCUCCACCCAGACCUAUAGGUGCAGAACCUCUAGGGGAGGGCCCAGCCAUCGCGCUUUGAAAAAUCUCCUCAGGUCUCACAUGAGUACUUCACAAUGGGGAAACUGAACUGGAACUCUACUGACAACGCAGUUGGGCAAGUAUAGUUUCCAGGCUCUAUCUAGCCUCAUGAUACAGGGGAGUAUGUGGCAGGAAGCAGCAAUGGCACUGAGAUGCCAACAGUCCAGCUCCCUGUGCAGGGUCACCCCACCUCCCCAGAGGUUUUCUAACUGUGCUUGGGGUCCCCAAGGAAUGUAAGGAACUACAAGAGGCCAACAAUGAGGUGCACAGAAUUUCAUGUUCACUUCCUACUUUCAACAUGAUCAGCUCAACCCAUUGUACUUAUUGGAUUUUAUUUGAAAAAAAUUUCACACACAAAGUUUGACUGUCAUUAGAUCACAGCACACUGGCUGAAGAGUGUUAAAGAAAAAAUUAUUCUGACAUAUGUGAAAACAGGAAGACUUUAUUUAGGACUAUCUUGUUGGGUAUCAAGAUGAUUGCAAUAGGCGAGAGAGAUCAGGUUCAACUUCAAAUGCAACAACUGAAGAUAUAUGAUCAAGGGUGGCGGGUUAGGGAAAGGGUAAGUGGAUGGAAAAUUACUAAGAGGGGAGAUCAAAUGGAGGAAUUCUUGCCGAAGACAGUCCAAGGUGAACAGAUAUCACCUGGGGGACAGUGGAAAGAUGAGGGAUUUGACCAGAUAUGAAUGAUGAGCAGACAGCGGGGUGGGGGAUGGUUCUCCCUAAACCAACUUAGCAGGAUUCUUACUACAACUGGGCUAUGUAGGCUCAGCAAAGGCAGGUGCCAGGGUCAAGGCUUAGCCAAGAAGAGGGUUCAGAGGGGCCUGACUGGAGCUUGGUUAAGGAGAGAAUCUUUGUCAAGGGACAAGUGUAGCUUCAUAAAAGGACAACAUGGAUUCCCCAGUCGGUUUAUAUGAACCAAAGGGAGGCACAGACCAUCUUGCCUUGUCUUCUCCAUCAUUUAGGAUCCCAAGCACAAAUCUUGCUUCUCUUCCAGCUUGCAGUCCUCAUGCAAAUAGAUGCCCGAGGGUAGAGCAGGCCUAACAUGCCAAAUUUCCACUCUUAGGCUCUGCUGAGAUCUACAGUCCUGUGGGAUUUCUUUUUUUUAAAUGAUUCUAUGGUUUUUAGUAUUCUUUGAUUCUUUAGCACUAUAUCCUCAACUUCUAUAGCUCUUCGAUUUUGCAUUUCUUUGAUUCUGAGAUAUGAUUAUCUGGGGACAUGGACUCUCUGGCUCAAUUAUUUCAAGAAAUAAUCUUUAUUCUUUUUUCUGGAUUAAUGUUUGAUUAAUGUGUCUAAGCUCCUCCUGUGAGACAAUGGUUCAUACCAGGGUGGGACAUCAGCAGGAGCAAGGGGGAUGGUGGGGGUGCCGCUGACUAAAAAGGUCUCAUAUAUUGGCUGUGUCCAAGGUCAAAACCAAAACCCGAGCAACCACACCUGGUAUCAGGCAUUAGGGGUCAGUAUGUGACCAGGAGAGCCAGAGGGUGCCAGGUGAUUAAAAGUCGGUGUAUGGAGGAUGGAGUGGGAGAUGAAGGGCAAUGAAUGAAAAUGAAGCAAACAUCAUAUGUUUGAUAUGGUGAAAAGGAUGCUAAAAUUCCUCCCAUUGAGUUUGGGCAAAUCCUAUGGUUCUCUGUGAUAAGCCCUUUCUAUCCCCUUUCCCUACCAAAUCUUCCUGCUACAUUACACUCUGCUCCCUACCAGGGAGCUAAAUAGCAACCUGUGUAUUUCAUCUAGGUCGGUUACUUAACAAUCCUAAGGAAACUAUUUGAAUUUAAAUGACUGCCUUCUAGACACAACACAACAAUGAUAGCAAUAAAAAUAAUGACUUGUAAAUUAGUCAGCAUCAGCUGGGCUGCUGUAACAAACAACCCCAAAUCUCAUAAACAAACGUUAGUUUUCACCCCUCUGAAGUCCACUGUGGGCCUAGGCAGCUAUGGUCCAUGUGGUGACUCAGUGAUCCAGGCUUUUAAAAUUGUGUGCUUCUGCACUGCAAUUUGAGGACGCCUCAUUUGCUGUGUCAGGGGAGGAGAGAGAUUGGAAAACCUCAUGGGGACUGUACACUUCCUUGGCCUGAAGCGAUGCUCAUCACUUCCAUUCACAAAGCCAGUCAUAUGCCCCUUUAGCUGGAAGAGGGUAGGGAAAGCUAGUUUUCUGUGCAUCCAGGAAGGAUGAAUAUAAAACAGCAUUUAGUGAACACGUAAUUUUCUCUGUGUUGCAACGACCACUUCUUUUUAAAUAGGUACCACAAGACAAUUACUCUGCAGCGAUUUAUUUAAAUCAUCUCAAAGAUCCUUACAGGUGAGGAAACUGAGGCUUGGAGAAGUUGAAUGACUUGCCUAAAGUCACACAUAUAAUGGUAGAUCCAGAAUUAGAAGCCGUGGUUCUGUUUCACCAUAACCUGUGCCCCUCACUGUUCAGAUGAUGGAUCCUCAGACUCCGGGGGAGCUGUGGGGUAACUCCCUCCACCCUUCAGCUACAGCCUGGAAACCAUUGCCUUUUCUGCUCAUUGCAGCCAGGCCUGGAUCCAUGUGAGGAAACACACCUGCUGCCUCGGGAAUCCCAUACCAGUGAUGUGACACUCACAAAAGGCGAUCAAUGGUUCCUGACAAUUUUUUCUUUUCAUUUAGGCAAAAAAUAUGGAAAGCAUAUUUGAUCUUUGAUUUUCUUCCAUUUCCCAUCUGUUCUUUAUUAGGAGUUCAAACUUAAUAACCUUCCAGAGUUGGUAUCAAAUUCAGACGCUGACGCUCCUUGGAGAGGUUCUUUGCUGCAAGAGGAUGGAAAGGAUCACUGUGAUUUUGUUUUUCUCCUGCUGCUCUGUCUGGAAGCCAUGUGAGGAGGACAUCUGAGCAGCCCUGUGGAGAGGCCCCCAGCCAACAGCCAGCAUGAACUUGCUGGGCAUGUGAGUGCACCACCUUGAAAGUAGAGCCUCAACCCCUGGUCAAGCCAUCAGGUAAGAUUGCAGCCCUGGCUUAUAUCUGACCACAACCUCAUGAGCAACCCAGAUCCAGGCCACCCAUGUAAGCUGCUUGUGAAUUCCUCACCCACAAAAAUCAUGUGACAUAAUUAAUGUUCAUUGUCACUUUAAGAUGCUAAAGUUUGGGGUAAUUUGUUAGGUAGCAACUGAUAACAAUGCAACUGAUAAACAAUCAAGUCGGCAUACUGCAAUCCCCCCAGAAUUUGGACAUAGCCCUGGAGAAAGUGGGUAGGCGUCCCUAAAUGAACUAUGAUUCUAUUUUUGCCACCUGGAAGAACACAGGCUGUAAUAGAAAUUAUACUCAGUUACAGAACAGUAAAGUUAAAUUUCUAGAUUGCCUGAGUUUCUAGACUAGCUGAAAUAUUACAACUCAUUUCAAGGAGCUUCCAAAUAUAUUUUCAGAGCUCUGGAAGUCUGGGGAACGCAGGACAAGAGCCACUAGAUUUUGGGAACAAGAGUGCUCUUCUCCCCAAGUGGGCAAAAAGGGAGCCGGAAGAUAUACGCUUCUCCAAUUUCAGAAUUUGGGGGGACCACUCAGCUUGUGCCUGUACCUUCUCCGGGCUCCCUUUUGUUCCUCAUUGCACCCCCUUCUGUGAGCAUGCACAAACUCAGCUUGAUGCCCAAGCCCUUCAAUUUGUCUUGUUAGAAAACCCUGUGUUAAAGAGACCAUUAAAACAAGAGGGAAAGAUAAAUUGCCUGAAGCUGCAAGACUCAGGAGGCAAGGGAGAGCAGGUGAUGGAAAACAGGCCUGUGAUUAGAGGGCAGGGGGUGGCACAGGAGCCAGAGCAGGCAAAAACAUCCACUGGAGAUGUCAAAAUAUUUGAAAAUCCUCUUCCUUUGGUGAAUUGAGUUACCAAAAUGUAUUUUUUUUUUUUUUUUGCAUGCGGAGAAGAGUCUGAGAUAGAGGUUAAGAAUAUAGUUUCCAGAGUGAGGCAGAACUAGGCUCUGUCCCUUCCCAGCUGCUGUCAGACCUCAGGCAAAUCUCUGAACCUCUCUGACCCUCGGUUUCCUCAUCUAGCAAGAGGGGACAAUGUAAGCCUGUAAAAAAUGGCCCGAAGUCUUCACCUUUCUUUGUGUAUGUGUCUUUUGCAAUGUGACUUUCUAGCUCUUCCUGUGAUGAGACGGAGUCCAUUUCCCCACCCCUUGAUGCUGGGAUGGUCUCGUGACUUAUUUUGGCCAUAAAAUGGGGCAGAAGUGAUAAUACAUCAGUCUUGAGCCUAGGUCUCAGGAGGCCUUGUGCACUCUGUUCUCUCUGACCCUGUGAUUCCCCAUAGGGAGAGCUCAAGCUGGCCUGUUGGAAGAUGACAGGCCAUAUGCAACAGACGUGAAGUGUCCCAGCUGAUCCCCUUCCAGAACACCCACCUUCCAGAUGACCACAGAUGCAAGGGUGAGCCAGCCAAUAGCUGCUGAGACAUUCCCAGAAAGACAGAACAUCCAGCUGACCCAUGGACUCAUGGGCGAUCAUGGAUAAAUGGAUAUUGUUUCAAGCUACUAGGUUUGGGGUUGGUUUGUUACGCAGCAAUAGCUAACAGCUACACCUCUAUUUUAAGGAGUUGUGAAGAUAAAUUGCAAAGGUACAGAAAAAUGAAUAGCUAUAACAGCUACUAGUGAUUGAGUGCUGGCUCUGCCUGGUACUGUGCUCAGGAUUGGCAUGCAUUAUCUCAAAGAGUUGCACAGGCUAGAAGGGCUGCAGCUGAAGAUUCUAGAAGAGUUCAGGUAUAAUGCCUGGCACAUGGUACCUGUUUCAUGUAUGCUAGUUGUUGGAUGCUGCUGAUGCUGGCAGCACGUGGAACUCCUGACACAUGCCUCUGAUUUGGUAGUGGGGUCUGAACUUUGUAAUCUGUGUGUCCAGAGACCUUGGGAAGUCUUCAGCCAAGGGCAGACCAGGAGGUAGCUUUUGUGAUCUGAGUGCAGAGAAGUUUCUUAGAGUGAAUGGCAUCCAGAUAGGGUGGGGAAAAAGCAUUAGCCAGGGUGCUCCACACACUCCCCUCACUAGUGUGGUCCCUGGACCAGCAGCCUCAGCCUCCCCUGGGCCCUUAUUAGAAAUGCAGAAUCUCAGGUCCUACCCCUGCUUACUGAAUCAGUAAGAGCAUUUUAACAAGAUCCCCAGGGGAUUUGUGUGCAUGUUAGAGUUUGUCCAGAACACUCUUCUCAAGCUAUCUGUGCUGAGACACCAGUAUUUUUUUCAAAUUCCAAUUUAUUGCAGAAUGACAGUUUUAAAAAAUGCAGUAAAAAAGCAAAUUCCUAGAAAAAUUAAAUGAAAAAUAAAAUAUACAAAAUCUAAGCCCUUUUUUCAUUAUUAUAUUCAAUGAUACAAAAUUGCCAUCUGCCAAAUUGCUACAAAACUUUCUGAAUACUUUUCUUUCUCUGUACGUAUUCUUUGUGGGUACCUUACUGUGGACAGGUAACAAACGACUUGCCAUGUGGCAUGGGCUAUGGACUGCCCGACAAGUAGCACCAUCUUAGAGUUACCAAUGAUAAUGAUACUAAUACAAUAUGACCACACAUGAUUGUGUGCUUGAUAUCAGCUCAUAAUAAGGGCUUACAAGCUUAAAUACCUGGAAAUCCUCUCAGCAAACUGUGGGGCAACUAAUGUAUUUAUCUCCAUUUUGUAGAUUAGGUCAUCGAGGCCCAGAGAGGUUAAGCAACUUGCCCAUGGUCACACAGCAUACAAGUGGAGCACCCUGAGCCCACCUGUUUGACCACUACAAGGCAGAGGGAGGGAGAGGAAGGCACCACCAGUGAGAGGCACAAGGACAUUGUCCAUUGUCUCUUGUACCCUAUGUGAGUGACAGCUGUCAAAAAACCAGGUGUGGGGCCCUGGCUGUCUCUGUAACCGCAUUGCAGUGGAGGCUGGAGCCCAGCAAACUCUUUACCAGCCCCAGGCUAGGGCUAGGAGGAUCACCCUCGCACCUCACUCUUUGGUGCAGCCUGCAGGAAAGGAAGCCCUCUGUGAAGUGUAUCACCCCAGCCUGCCGCGUUGCCAGAGGUGAGGGGAAAAGGGCGCCUGCCGAUCGCCUUCUCCCUCUUGCUAUCUCUUUUUCCUGAAGUCAUAGGAGCCAGGCAGGAGGCUGGGGGUCUGGCAGGCUGGGUGAUAGCUAGUUAUCGACAGGUUGAUGGCUGCCCCAGAAGACUGCCCGAGGACAUCAAGGCGGAAGCCACUUCUGAGGCCCGCUGCUCCCAGAGAGCCGGCUGCCGGCAUCUCUGCCCAGGGCUUGGCGCUUCCCCUCACCAUCUCAUUAAUCCUGAUUCACAGAAAAAGGCAGCAGGCAGGGGCCCUCUUAACAGGCCGAGCGGGCGACUGAUUUGCCUUCACUGAAGACAAUAGUGCCCAGGAGACCCGGCAUUGCUGAAUUAUUCAAAUCAGCCGUGGCAGGGAAAUCUGAGGACACAGAGUGGCUGACAUCCCCCGGCCCUUGCAAGCUGCCCUCCUUCCCUGCCCUGGGGUGCUGGUACCUGGCAGCCUGGGGUGGCCAGCACAGAUCCCCUUGCCAGAGAUGAGGGCUGCUCCCGACCUUCCCUCCUCCGUGGAUGGAAGUUGAAAUUGGUGUUGAUCAUCUCUAAGCACCUUGGAGCUCUAGUAAUGGAUCCAAAAUGACAUUUCCCACCUGCUGAUCCCUGGAGGGACAUUCUGACAAGGACUUCUGGAUGAACAAGUGAUGGGGCAUGGGAAGAUGAAGGCAGCAGGAGAUGGCUGUUCUGCCAAGGUGUGUGUGUGUGUGCGUGUGUGUGUGCAUGAUUCAAAAAAAGCAGAGGAUAUCGGUUGAACCCUGGCUUGGCCAACCUUAGUUUUCUGCUCCUAGAAAAGAAACACAAUGAAUAGGCAGGUAUCCCUGGCAAAUGUGGAGAUUCAGGAGCAAAACCACCCAGAGUCGGUGCUGACGCUGGGUGAAGACAGAGCAAACAGAAGUUUGAGAGGUCACGUGCAACAGACGUGAGCCCAGCAUGGUGGUCUCCCAGUGGGGAGGGAGUCUUGGAGAGUAUGAAGGGUAAACUGAGACCCAGAGAGGGGCAGGGACUUGCCCAAAGUUGUUAAGCAGUUUGUGGCCAAAAUGGAAUGAAAAGCCAUGGUGUUCAGCUUGCAGUUGGAGGCUCUCUUUGUUAAUAAUACCUAUCCCUGCCCAAGCACAGACACCUGAAGGCUUUUUAAUAUAUUUCAUUGCUAACUGUAUGAUAAUCUCAUGAGGCUGAUACAACUAAUAUUCCCAUUCUACUAAUGAGGAAAUUGAGGCUUGCAGAGAUUCAGCCACUGGACAGGGUAGAAAGUGACAAUCUGGGAUUGGAAAGGUGGUCUGUCUUAUGCUGAACCCUUAAUUGCUGUGACUCAGUGGGAGGUCAGAGGCACCAGGACUCCAGAUCGCUCCAAAACAUCCCUCCUGGCCAAGGCUAUAGUGUCAGCAUGACCUCAGUUUGUGAUGGCUUCCUGGGGGUAAGCAUUGCCACUUACUUGUGUCCUCCAUGGGAAGGAGCACACAGAGUUUUAGCCCUUCGCAGAAAGACUGACUUCAAAGCACCCUCAGCCAUCCCAGGCAUCUGAAAGGAGACCCCUGAGGAGGGGACCUCGAAUGUUGGAAGGAAAUUUAUGAAUGAAGAGGUUCGGAAUCUCUGGGCACAAGAUCCACCUCUUUGGGGGAAGCCAGUGGCGUCUUCUGUGUAAAGCUGCCAUUGGCAGGACAACUUUCUCUAGGAGAGGCAGAAGCUGGGGGUGGUGGUGGGGUUAAACCAACCUUGCACAUUGGUGGGAGGGGGCAUGGGGUCAGUGUGUGAAUAACAGCCUCUGCUUUUCUGCAUCAGCCAAACAACAAUAGAGUGGGAAUGGCAACCUGUAUUGAGGGUUCACCAUGUGCUAAGCCCUUUCUUUAUGUGUAGAAGCUCAUUUAGUCCUCAAGACCAUUUUAUGGGGUCAGUAUCUAUGAGGUCAGCAUCGUUAUGUCCUUUUUGCAAAGGAAGAAAAUGAGACGCAGAAAAGAAGACAUUUAAGCCAUUUACCCAGGACGCUGCUGCUGGGGUGAGUGUAAAGGAGCUGGGAUUUGAAAUCCAGGCUUCAUAAACCACGUGGCCUCUAGGAUAUUGUGGCUAGGAUUCCCUUCUCUGUUCAACUUGAAGUCCCUCUCGGCAGAGUGGUGUCCUUUUUCUCUGCCCAUAGUGGCCCAUUCCCGGGGUUGUGAUCCAUGCACGGGCAUCCCCAGAAGGAGGCUUAGAAGCUCCUUGAAGCAGCUUAAAUGCACCUUUGCCGUUGUGCCUCUACAUGCCCUCUUCCUUUUCUGAGAACAACCAACUUCCUCAGGCCUUCGAAUCAUCUCUCAUUUGGAAUAAUCACUGUCUGAAUGGACGAGGUCUCCAGCAUUUGUGUGGUGCGGCGCGGGCCUCCCAGGAUCCUCCCUGCAGAAAAACGAAACGAAGAGAGAUUUAUCUCCUGGGUCAGAUAAAGGUGACUAAAUGCAAACUGGCCGAUUCCUUUCGGCAAACAGUUCCCUGGGGAGGGCUCCUACAAGGAGGAGAAGAGCCAAUCGAUCCCGGAAAUGCUUCGAGGUGACUUACAGGGAAGACUUAAAGGAAAAAGCCCUCGUGUCUUUACAGCCUCCGGCGACUCUUUCAGCCUUGUAAAACUGCCCGUACCAGCCCAUAGAGCGAGGAAGGAGGGGGUCGGGGGAGCUUCUUCCUUACCAUUGCUGCAAAGGUGGAACUCUGCAAAAUUUGACCUCUGAGAUCUCUAGCUGAGUCCUUCAUUCAUCUGUCAAGCAUCUAUUGAGUGCCUACUGUGUGCCUGCUGUGCACUUCGUAUGCUCUAUCCUGCUGAGUCCUCCAGAUGACACCAUCAUUACCCCCAUUUUCUAGCAGAGAAACUGAGGGUAUCUGAAGGGAGGCAAACGUUUCUGGAGUCCUAAAGCAAGCAAGAGGGUAGGUCCUGAGAUACGGAUUUGCAUUCACCAGCCUCCCUGGUUUGGUUUCCUUCCUGCAUCACUCCCUCUGUCAUCAGAUCUGGUUCUCACCCAGCUUCAUCUCCAAGUCUGGCUCAGGCUUGUUCUUCUCUAUCUCUCUUCCUUUCUCCUUUCUGCUCUUAGACUCAUAAGAAACCUUCCUUAUAAUCUGAGGAAACAGCCUGUGCAUCUUGGAGACUGAGUUUCUUUUGGGAUCCCCAGGUUCACACCAGCCUUUUCUCCCAUAGUCAUCCCGCCCUCAUUUCAUUAAGGUACCAGUAGCACCAGCUGGGAAGGGUAACUUGGCUUGCGGUCUGCAAACUUAUUCUGGCCCUGCAAAAGGCCAAAUAGUAAAUACUUUAAGUUUUGUGGUGCAUUGCGCUAUUGGGGUGCCAAGACAAUAUGUAAAUGAAUGGGCAUAGCUGUGUUCCAAUAAAACUUUAUUUACAAACACAGGUGGUUGGCGAGAUUUGGCCCAUAGGUUGUCAUUUGUUGAUCCUUGGGAUAGAGGAUAAAAGAUCUGGUUUUGGGGUUUGCAGACCUGAGGUCUCCCCGCAGCCCACUUUUUUUUUUUUUUUACUUCCUUGCUGUGUUACCUUGGGCAAGUUGGUGCAGCUCUCUGAGCCCCGUUUCUUUUCUGUGGAAUGAGAUAAUUAUAGCACCUGCCGCCUGGGCUUUUGCUAAGUUUAAAUGAAACCAUGCAGUGGAUUGCACAUAGUCAGUGAGCAAACUGGUAGCUGUUAUUUUAUGACGAAUGACUUUAAACCUUCUGAGGAAAGCAACCCCCCUUCCCUCAUUUGGGGGUAAGGGAAGCUGAUGUGCCAGUGUUCUGAUAUUUUGUGGUUCAUUAUGCUGUUAAGAUUUCCAUUCUUUUCAAGUUAAUGCACUUGCAUUUUAAUGACUUAGGAUGCAGAAUCUGCCUCCUUUGGGAUGGAACCAGCUGGCUGGCCUUUUGUGAGGGUGAUAGUUGGUAAAACUCUGGACACCCCCAUGAUCCCUUUGAGUCUAACCUCUGGUUCCCUUUCCUGGCUCCAGAAGGACUGACUCAGUGGGUCUAGCAUGACCACCAGUGAUCCUCUGGUUGAGAGCUGAUCACAAGUGGCCAAUUAAUCUAUUACUUGCAGAUACAUUUUCCAUUAGCAGUGGCGGAAUCAAUUAGUCAGCGUAAUGAACUUGAGUCUGGGCAAACAGGAAGGAGAGGUUAACCCCUUGGUUUCCAAAGGAGGCUGGGAUGGCAAGGGAGCGUGGAGAAGAUCUGGAGAGAAAUCGAGAGGCUGGAUAGGGACAGAGGUUUGGGAACCACAGUCAAGCUUCCAGGUAGUAAGAUGAGGUAGGUUGGACCCAAAGAGCUCUAGCUUAGAGCCAGGAAAAAAUGGCUUCUCUAGUCAUGUGGACAUGACAGAGUCAUUUUGAGCUCAGUUUCCUCCUCUGCAAAUGGGGAUCAUAAUUGUACACACCUCAUAGGAUUGUUGUGAGGAACAAAUAAGACAAGUUGUAUGAAAUACAUAGCCCCAUGUUGGGAGCGGAAAUUCUCAGUGAAUGCUAAUCUUUCUGCUACCCCUUUUUUUCUGCCUCACCACAAGCCACGAAGAGGUGAAAAAGAGACUUCUUGACUUAGAGCUAAAAAUAGCAGAAACUUCUUACUAAAAUUACUCUAGCUCAGAUCCACAUUCAAAUGUGUUACAGAGGUCAGGACUCCAACAGGUGCCUUUACUGCAGGCCUUGUCAGGGACUUAAACUUCUGACAUGUAUCGUGACGCUCCACAAAGGAUUGGAGCAAAUUUCCCAGACGUAUUAGAAUGAAACAACAUUCUUUUCCCAUCUCAGAGCAUUGCACAGGACUGUGAGUUUUAUUGUUAAAAUGGUAGGAAACGAUGCAUUCCCCAAAUGCAUCGUUUGGGGACCUCUGGUCCCCAAAGGUGGACCAGAUAGAGUCCACCUUCUCCCAAAGCCCUCCCUGUCUAUGCAAGCAACUUUCUCACUCUUAUCAGUGUUGUUAUAUCACGUUGGUGCAAAAGAAAUUGCAGUUCUUGCCAUUACUUUCCAUGGCAAAAACCGCAAUUACUUUUGCACCAACAUAAUAGACUUGAAUUAGGGUCUAGUUACCUGGUGCAGUAAGACCAGAUAUCCACACGGAGGUCUUGCAGUGGUGGAAAGAAAGGUGUUUAUUUACCAGGUGCCAAGCAAGGAGGACCAGACGGCUAACGCUUAUAUCCUGACCUCCCGAUGGCUUGCAGAGAUUAAAGAGGAUGUGGAGGCUGGGAGGAUCAUCAUGAGGGCCACUUUCUAAGAAUAGCCUCUCUCUCCCUGAAGAUCAAAAGAGGUGACUGCAGCAGGAGAGAGGAAAGUUAGACAGGGGUAAGUACUUUCUGAUGGGAGGACAAAGCCAUCACCAGUGUCCAUCCAUAGAGUUUUUUCAUCUUCCCCAAUGGAUAUUCUAUACCUGUUAAACUCUCACUCCCCAUUUCCCCUGCCCCAGCUCCUAGUAACUUCUAUUCUACUUUCUGUCUCUAUAAAUAUGACUCCUCUAGGGACCUCCUAUAAGUGGAAUCAUGCAAUGCAAAAGUAACUUACUGAGCCUUCUAGUCUGGCGAAGCACCCAGCAUUUUGCCCUGCGUGGAGUCAAUCCGUCAUUUUGUGCCUGAUGUCUCUUACUUGGCAUGAUGUCAUCCAGGUUCACUUGGUUUAGCAUAGGUCGGUACUUUACUCCUUUUUAUGGCAGAGUAAUAUUCCACUGUAUGGAUAAACCACAUUGGGUUUAUCCAUUCAUCCACUGCACAGUGCACUUCUGAGAGAAGACGGGUAGAUGGUGCAAGGUGGGGAAUUAUAUAUUUCUGUUUUGGAAACUUCAGAGUAAGAGAGAGCUUUCCCAUCCAGUCACGUCUCGUGCCUAGUGCUAUGUCCUUUGUGUGCUGGUGACACUAACUUGCUUUACACCUCCAUGCCUUUCCCUAUGCUGUUUCCUGUGCUUGAAGCACCCUUCCCACUGGCCCAUUGUUGGCCUGACAAGUCUCAUGUCGGCUUCAGGGUGAAAACCUCAAUGAAAGUGGAAAUUACAUCUGUUUUAUUCACCUCUGUAUUUCCAGAUCAUUAGAUGCCAUACAUACAGAUAAGCAUGCAUGAGUGAAUAAGUCAUUCCAAGCUACACUCCUCCAGAGGGUCCUCCUUGACUGUACCUCAUGCUAUGGAGCUAAUGCUGGCUGUUUUCGAGUCAGCCACCACACUCAUUGAUUGAUGCUGUGUUUGUCUCUCCUAUUAGACUAUGUGCUCCUUGAGGACAGUGCUUGUGUCUUACUCAUUUUUGUGCCCCUCCCUUGUCCUAUAAUAUACCCAGUGUAGGUAUCUAUUGAAUAAUGCUGAAGGUUGUGCACAGAUGUCAGCUGUUAUUAUCUUCCUUCCCCCUGCCACCCCACCCCAGCUACCUGGCUUCAGGUGGUCUUGUCUUCAUCUCAGCAGGGACUGGGAGCUUAUGCUGUCAGUGACUUGCUGCACAGUGCUAUGAUGUGGAAACCUCCUGCUAUAACUAUCGUAUAACUUCUUACAUCUUUGUGGCACUCAGAUGUUCCUUAGCUUCCUCAAGUCUCCAACAGCCUACUGAUGGUUGACAGAAAAGACUGGCCAGGCGCAGUGGCUCACGCCUAUAAUCCUAGCACUUUGGGAGGCCAAGGUGGGCGGAUCAUGAGGUCAGGAGAUCGAGACCAUCCUGGCUAACAUGGUGAAACCCCGUCUCUACUAAAAAUACAAAAAAUUAGCCGGGCAUGGUGGCGGGUGUCUGUAGUCCCAGCUACUCGGGAGGCUGAGGCAGGAGAAUGGUGUGAACCUGGGAGGCGGAGCUUGCUGUGAGCCGAGAUUGUGCCACUGCACUCCAGCCUGGCAGCAGAGCGAGACUCCGUCUCAAAAAAAAAAAUAAAUAAAAAUUAAAAAGAGAAAAGACUAUGGGGUUCACUUUACAGGGUAGGAAACUGAGACUCAGAGAUGGGAAUGGCUUUGAAGUUUGUUAGUAACAGAUGGUAUGCCAGCACCCAGAUUGCCUACCCCUAGGUCCUGAUUUUCCCCUCUCUUCCAUUCUGGGGGAACUGCAUUUAUAAAAAGUUUAACAUUAGUAGUGAUAAGAACAACAAAAUCAAUAUGACUGGCAGCUAACUUGUUUUGAGCAUCGGUUCUGGUCUGGCACAGUGCUCACCAUUUUACAUAGCAUGGAGUCGGUAUGGGUCAGUUUCCCAAAUGUGCUUUUUUAAAGAACUGGAAACCCAGAGGCAUUUGAAAUAUGUGUCUUUUGAAUCAAAGAAACAUAGAGGAUUUGAAGAUGGAGGAGACCGCAUUUUAUUUUAUGGCCCUGGAUAAAGUCACUACGCCUAUCCCUCUGAGACUCAGUUAUCCCCAUCUGUAAAAUGGGUGGUUGGAUGAAAUGAACACUCGAGGUCUUCUCAGAGCUGACAUUCUACAGAUUCAUCAGUGAGUUUCCUCUGACUCUCCUUGAAUGUGACUUUGUCCAUUCGGAGGGCGGUCCUGGCAUCAGCAAGGGUGACGAUUGUUUCCUUCCUGGAAUCUUUGGAUUGCCAUGAGAGCGAGGAGCCACUCAGCAACAUGAGGAAGCCACAUGUGCCACAUUCUUCAAUGGCAGCAAUUUUCCGUGUAAUUAAGUUUAUUUAUCAUGUAUAUUAAGGGGAAAAUGGAGACGCAUGAUCAUCACAGCCCAUUUGCCAUCGACAUCCAUCUCUCAAGCGUUGCUUCUGUUUUCUCCAAGGCCAACAGCCAUGAUGGAUGUGGGGCCCAGGAGAGCCAUCUGGCACGAGGACUGGUGGGAACCCAGCCCCCUACAGGACCCAGGUCUCACCCCCUGGACAGAUGCUUCUCCCAAAACCGUCCCUGUCCUCAAGGAGCUGAUAACCCAGGAAUCGUGGUUAAUGGUGACAUUGGCUAACACUGGAUGUUGCUUUCCUUUAAACCUGCAGUUAGCUUUCUUCCAGCAGAAUGCUGAGAUAUUACUCCUGUGUUCACAUGUGGAAAUGCAGCAUGGCUGCACCAUUUCACCAUUUCUACCACUCUAAUCAUUGUAGCUUCCUCUUGCUCUCUUUUUAAGCUAAGCCUUAGCCUGGCUUCUUGUACCUAUAGGGAGUUCAAUUCAUUUACCAAUUCACUCAACAAAUAUUUGAGUGCUUCUCUGGUGGAAGACUACCAUUCCAGGCUUUUGGGAUUUAUCAGUGAACGGAAGAAAGACUUUCGGCCUCCUCAAGCUUACUUGGUGAAUAUUUUGGAAUCAAAAAAUGAAUAAAGGAGCAAGAACAUACGAAUCACUUCAGUUAUUCAACAAACAUUGAGUGCUUCCUGUGGACAGCACCUUGCUGAUCACACGUGGCUAAAAUGGGGCCCAAGCAGCUUCUUCUGUUUCCUCAUGGAGCUUACAUGCUAGAGGAGAAGGAAGACGUAAAUCAAAGAAUCACACCAAUGAGUUUCUAAGUACAAAAUGAGAUAAAGCACUAUGAGGGAAAGGGUGUUUUUCAGAGUAUAUGAGAAGUGCGUGUUCUAUACUGGGGGUGGGGAUUCAGGAAAACUUUUGGAGGGAGAGAUACUUAAACUGAAACCUGAGGCAAGGGUUUUCAUCAAGUGAGAGAAGGAAGUGCAGGGGCAUGGGGUAGAGGAAUAGCAUGAGGGCUCUAUCCGUUAGGAUGCCUUAGGCUGUCAGUGUCUGAAGACCUAACUCAAAAUGGUUUAAACCAUAAAGACAAUUUGUUACCAUGUCAUAAGAAGUCAGAAGUAGGUGCCAGGCGCGGUUGCUCACGCCUGUAAUCCCAGCACUUUGGGAGGCUGAGGCGGGCGGAUCAUGAGGUCAGGAGAUCAAGACCAUCCUGGCUAACACGGUGAAACCCAGUCUCUACAAAAAAAUACAAAAACAAAAUUAGCCAGGCGUGGUGGCGGAUGCCUGUAUUCCCAGCUACUCAGGAGGCUGAGGCAGGAGAAUGGCGUGAACUGGGGAGGCAGAGCUUGCAGUGAUCCAAGAUCACACCACUGCACUCCAGCCUGGGUGACAGAGAGAGACUCUGUCUCAGAAAAAAAAAAAAGAAGUAGGGCAGCUAGCUCCAGGGUUGGUUAAUUCAGUGGCUCAAUGACAUCAUCCAAGGUCAAGUUCUUUUCUGCCUUCUUUAGAGUGUGGGACAAAAUACUCAACAUUAUUUCUUCAGGGUCACUGAAUGGCUGCUGGAGUCGGCUCCCACAACAGCAUCUAAACCUAGAAGAGAGACUUCUGCUUCUCAGCCUCCUUUUAAAGAGAGAAGAAGCCUUUCUCAGAAUUCUCCCAGGACAUUUUUCAUUGUCCAGGACUGUGUUGGUUCAUACGAGCCAAUGGGGUUGGGAGGAAGCCUGUUGGGUGGAUGAGAGCAUCCUGGAAUCCAGGAUGACCUAGUCUGGAGCUAAGGAGACGUGGCUUGGAAUCUGAUAUGGUUUGGAUCUGUGUCCCCACCAAAUCUCAUGUCGAAUUGUAAUCACCAGUGUUGGAGGUGGGGCCUGAUGGGAGGUGAUUGGAUCCUGGAGGUUAAUUUCUUAUGAAUGGUUCAGAACCAUCUCCUUGGUGCUGUUCUCGUGAUAGUGAGUUCUCAUGAGAUUUGGUUGUUUAAAAGUGUGUAGCACCUUCCUGCACCUUGCUCCUGUUCCUGCCGUGUUCACACCUCCUCACUCCCCCUUUGCCUUUUGCCAUGAUUGGAAGCUUCCUGAGGCCUCCCCAGAAGCAGAAGCUGCUAUGUUUCCUGUACAGCCUGCAGAACCAUGAGCCAAUUAACCUCUAUUCUUUAUAAACUACCCAGUUUCAGAUAUUUCUUUGUAGCAAUGUGAAAACAGAUUAACACAGAAUCUCAGUUUUGAAGUCAAUUGGCUGUGUGACCUUAGGUAAGUCUCUUUCCCUCACUGGGUCCUAAGCCCCCAAUCUGAAAAACUAGAGGGUUGGAUUAAAUGGUCUGAAGGAUUGUUUUUCCAUGUGUAAGCUUCUAGGAUUCUAAAUGAGCCAUUGCUAGGGUGGGAGUUGGACAUGUUGUUCACCACAUUUUUGUCUUUCUGCCUUCUGGGCACGUGAAGCUUGCAUUUCCUGGCUGUCUUGCAGGUAGGUGGGGUUACGGUAUAGUUCUGGCCAAUGAGUUGAGCACAUGUUCCUGUCCAGGCUGGAGCAUUUGAUUCCAGGUUUGAGACUACAGAUUUCUCUUUCCCUCUGGCUAUGGCUAAUAUUUGAGAUGGUGACUGUGCCCUGUCAACCUGAGGCCCUGAGUGACAGUAAUGAGAGCCUCCCUUUUCCAUGCCAACCCAAUAGGCAUGCAACACAAGCAUGAAAUAAACGUAGGACGAUUUGGGGGUUACUUGUUACAGCAGCAGGAUGGAUCCUAUCCUGAGUGAUACAGUUAUGCUACUAACCAUGUAGCUGACACAAAAGGGGAAUUGACUCUGUGCUCGGCUGGGUGAAGCCCUUCACUUGCUUCUAUUUACCCCUCACAGCAGCCUUGUAGAAUGGGUGCAGUUAGCACCCCUAUUUCAAAAAUGAAGCAACAGAGGGGGAAGGCCAGCAGCUCAAGGUCACACAGCAGGGGAAGAGCAGAGCCAAGGAUUCAAACUCCAGUGAGUCUGACUCUGAAUCAUGAUGAAGCCAUAUCCUGCCUUGAUAACUUGGCAGAGGUUUUGUUCCAGGCUAAAGAAUGAACGAAGAGCUUGAAGAGCUGUGCCUGUGAGCAUGUGUAUGCAUGCAUGUGUGUGUGUGUGUGUGUGUGUGUGUGUGUGUGUGUGUGUGUGUGUGUGUUUAGCUGACUACCACACUUCACUUCAGAGUGAGAGAGGCCUUGGUGGGGGAGAAGGAGGGGCAUUCCCAGUCAGAAGAGAUUCCCAUCCUGCCCCAUCUUUCUCCCUGCAGACACCUCCUCCCCUCCCUGCAGCUUCCUCUGCCCCAAGCUCCCUGCAGGCCCUGAGCCAUCUCUGCCUUCUAUGAGACCUAAUUAAGCCCUGGUGAGGAGGUCGGAAGCAUCAGUUCCUGGCAGGCAGCUCCCUGGAGUGGGGAUAAUGGUGGGUGGCGCAUCCAUGGAUCCUGAGUAGGGUAGCAGAGAUGUCUACUAUAAUCAUAGUGACCAUAACAUCACCCUGCUAGCCUUAGGAAGAGCUGUAACAGUGGCUGCCAUUGUUACGUUUAUCCCCCCACUAGCCUGGCUCAGGGUUGCAAUAAGCAUUUAUGAAGCAUUCCCAGUUGACCAUUAGGAUCUUACUGGAGACAGAAUCCUUUCCUCUCUGCUCCAUCCUCAUCCACUCAUCUCAGUGGGAGUGUUUGAGGGGGGUGCCCCAGCUGGAAGAGCCCCAGACUUGGCCUUCAGUUCAACUCAUUGCCCUGCUUUACAGAAUAGGAGACUGAGGCCUCGGCAGGCCAAGUUCAAGGCUGGCCAGUGGUGGAGCUGGAACCAGAGGAUGUGGUGCAGGGAGGCGAACCCGGGUCCCUCUCCGGGCCCUUUGGGACUGUGGGUCAGUGGAGAUGGGGAGGCUGAGGCUGGAGAGGGCCAGCUCUCCCCAGGGGUCACUCAGGGGCUAUGGCUGGCCCUGGGCUACCAGAGGGUACGGGGUCGUGGAGGGCCAUGGUCCUGCUGAUGAGGCAGCCUUGGUGAGGGGCCAUGGAGCUGAACCCCGAGGCUCUGACUCCCCAACCUGCUUCUGGCAGCCGCCGCCUCAGGGAAAGCAGCCUUAUUAGUGCAGCCGCCUGCAUGGCCGUGGGUGCAGCCAGGGGCGGAAAAGGCCUUAUUUACCCCAGUGCUGGACCCUGUGAGCAGUGGCCACACACACUGCAAGGGGAGCUCGCAGAGCCACAUGUAUGUCUCGGGCCCUGGGUCGACAGAGUGUGCUUAGACAGGCUUGCAUGCUCAGGUAAGCCGGUUGGCCAGGCUUGUAUGCUCAGGUAAGCCGGUGUAUACAGAGACACACACAGGUGUGUGGUGACACACAACUGCAUGGACGUUCCCACAUCCACACAGCACGGGGCACACACAUAUGCAUCUGGGUGUGCAAACACAAGUUCAGACAUGCAUGCACGUGUGUUCCCCUCCUCCACUCACGUCCACACUCAUCUCUCUGCACACAGAGUCACACAACAGGUGCCCACGUACUCAGGAACAUAGAAAUCCACAGAAGCACAAAUAUAGACUUCACAUGCAUGUAUAAGCUCCUGCCUGUUCACCCAGACACAGGCUGGUAAACGUGUACACUGAGAAGACACACACAUGGGCAGGUCUCCAAAUACUACCCCUGCAGCCAGGAGCACACACACCCUGAACACACGCACAUAUUCCCUUGCCCUUUCCAUGGACAAGCACUCCCGAAAAGUAAUCAUUGACAUCGGCACACCGGUGCACACGGUGUGUGGACUCAUCUGUCUCUCUGUCUGUGCUAAGUUCUACUCAUCUUCCUGAGGAACAGCACUUGAUACAUUUUUACGGCACUGUCGCUGAACCCAAACCUCAUUUGAUUCCCCCAGCCUUCCCUGGGCCAGACUUUAUGUAUCUCCGUCUUACAGAUGAUGAGAAAACUGAGCUUCAGAUGGAGCAGGGGACUCCCCAAGACACCCCGAUAGACACAGAUGGCAUGGGCAGUCACAGUCAGAUGUCCUGACUGCAUCCCAGCAGGGGUAGGGUUGUGGGAAAUGGCACACAGGCCUAGGUUUGAAUCCCACUCUGCUGCUUACAGCUGGGCUGGGUGACCUUGGGCAGGUCUCUUUACCUCUCAGAGCCUUGGUCCUCCCGCAUCGAGACACGCAAACACCCACCGCCACUUGGUGGCGUUGUGCGGAAGGUGAAGGGAGAACAAUGCAGAGGACAGGCUCAGAGCAGGGCAUCCUGGAAGGAGUCAGCAGAUUCACCCAUCUUUAUUCUUAUUUCCAUAUUAUUAUUAUUAUUCACAUAGACCAUGUGAUGACAUAGACCAUCAACAGGUCAAGGACGGAGGCCUGUGACAGAUCCUUCUCCGACAGCCCCCCAAGGGAACCAAGUCUGCUGACACCUUGUUCAGGGACCUCUGGCCUCCAGAACUUCAAGACAACAAAUUCCUAUCACUUAACCACCCAGUAUAUUUUGUAUGGCAGCCCUAGCACACUAAUAGAGAUUUUGGUCUAUGACAUUUUUCUCUAUAGCAAAUCCAGUGGGUUACCAGCAAGGUCCAACUAUUUAUCACCCCUCACCCCGGGGCCUGGUGGGUCUCAGGUGAGGGGAGCCUGGCCUUUCUGGGAAGAACAGGACCUGCACCUGCCCGCGAGGAGUCCUGGGGAGCCGGGAUUCCCCAAGCACAGAGCACUGGCGUUGCCGCUGCGGAGACAGCCAGGCCCAUUCUAACAGUGACUUAGGGCUGAUGUAACAACCCUCGUAUUCUUUUAGUGUGGCCUGAAAGGUGCUAUUAAACGGAAUAUUGAGAUAAGGAAGUGGGAGUCGGGAAAGGUUAGAAACUAUUUAUUCAGAUUUUCAUAGGGCACUAAAAUAUCCUCACCCGCUGCUGCUCACGGCCCCUCCCUCCUCCCCAGCCUGGGCUCCCAGCACACAGGAAGCUCUGGGCUGUCACGCUGCCUCUCUGGCUGGCCGACCUCCUGUGGCAGCCUGGACCUGCGAAGAGCCUGGGUUCUGGGCGGGAGGGGAUCUGGGACCGAAUCUUACCCUGGCUUGCCGACCUGCACAUUAACCGAGCUUUGGAGCUUGGGGAAUGGUGGGGAACCAAGGACAGGGUGGGACGGUGCAGGGUGCAUAGCAAGGGGCAAGGAGGACCAGUGCCCCUCCUCUCUCCCCAGAGCCCCCCCCAGGCAGGAGUGGGAGGUUCACAGUGUUGUCUUCCCACUGCACGCCCCUUACAGCCCCCCAGCUCCUCCCUCUCCCAAAGUCAGAAUCCCAGGCUCACGGCUCUGCUGGCAUACCUCUGAUGGGAACCUGAUUACCUCCUGCAGAUUUUCUCUCCCUUCUCCUCGGUCCCUCAGGGAUCCUUCUGGAGGUAGAAGUCAACCCGUCUAACCAGCCUCCUCAAGAGGACCCCCAAAAUCUGGCAUUUAAAAUCCAGGGGAAAUCUCCCUCUUUCCUCCGCUGGAGAUCCUUGCGGGAGAAUGAUGUCCAGGGAGGUAGAUGGACUGUCAGCCCCACGAGGCAGGGUCUGUUGGUUUUACGCAUUGCUGCUUCCCCAGCUCUUAGCAGAAGGCCUGGUGCAUGGUGGGGCCACCAGAAGUGUUUGUGGCAGGCAGGAGCAGUGGAGAAAAACUAGGAUUUGGCAUGACACAGCUCUUGGUUCAAGACUGGUUCCUGUAACCUCCCUGAACCAGAGUGGUUUCAUCUGCACAGUGAGGACUCGAUGAGGCCGUGUAUGUAGAACUCUCUGCAUACGGUGGGCACAGAUAAAGGCUGGUGUUCUUCCUCCCCUAUGUCAGCCUCUCUCUUUUCUCCUUGGCAGCCCCGGAGAGCAGGUGGGUAUCUGUGGAUGGAUACACUUCCCUGGUCAUGGUUGGAAGUUCUGGGUGAUUGGGGAGGAUUGGCUGAAGGUGUGAUUCUAGGUGAUUCUGGAGGCAGUCACACACACUCUGGGACAUGCAGCCGGAUCUGCUGUGGGUGAGAUAAGGAACCUGCCAGUUGGUUCUAACAGCAGCACAGAGGGGCAGAGGAGAACAUUUCAGGACAGGGCAAGCACCUGUGCAAGGGCCCUGGGGCUAGUGGAAGCAGGUGAGUAGAGAGACUGGGGGUUGGGGUGGGAGGGUGUGGAGUGAUAUAGUUUGGAUGUGUGUCCCCUCCAGAUCUCAUGAAAUGUGCUCCCUAAUGUCGGAGGUGGGGCCUGGUGGGAGGUGUUGGAUCAUGGGGUGGGUCCCUCAUAGAUGGCUUAGUGCCAUCCCCUUGGUGAUGAGUGAGCUCUCGCUCUGUAGUUCACGUGACAGCUGGUUGUUUAAAAGGAACCAGGCACCUCCAUCUCUCUCUUGCACCCUCUCUCACCAUGUAACAUGCUGCCCCUCUUCACUUUCCUUUGUGAUUGGAAGCUUCCUGAGGCCUCACCGGAAGCUGAUACUGAUGCCAUGCUUCCUGCACCAUCUGCAGAACUGCACUAGAGCUGACCAUGUCCCAGGACUAUGUGGUUUGCAAGUACUAAUCCAUUUCAUCCUCAAGAAAAUGUCUAAGGUUUCAUGCCCAUUCUACAGAUGAGGAAACUGAGGCACGAAGAGCUUAAGAAAUGGGUCAUACCUUACACAGCUAGUUCACAGGCAGGUCUGGGAUUCAACCCCUCAGGGCUGUUUGGCUCCAGACUACACUCUUCAACACCAUGUCAGACCAUUUGAAUCCCCAGUUUACAGAUGAAGAAAUUGAGGCUCAGAGAGGUGAAGUGACUUGCCUAAAGUCACACAGCUACAAAGAGGUGAGUCUGCCUGAUUCCUGAACCCAAGCUCUUGACUCCAAUCUCAGUGAGGUGACCACUGGAAGCUUUGCAUUCUCCUCUUUCGACCCUCUCAGGAGGUGGGGCCUAUGAGUAGUGGUCUUGGGGUUCACCUGUCAUUGAGAGACAUCUGUCCUCUGCUGAAGGAUUAAGUCUUCAGAGUAGAUGAGAAGAAGGACAACCCCACAGGACCCUUAGGGGACAGUAGGGAGAUGGGCUGCCACCCUCUUGGGGUGGUAUUUUCUCUUUCUAAUGAUUUUUGACAGCUCUGACUGGUUUGGGUGAAGACAGGUUAAGUGCCUUCAUACCUGUGCAUUUUUUCCAGCUACACAGGGAGAGGCAGGCUGUGUUGAGUGUGUGAAUGGUGCCAUCAGACACAGCAUUCCUGCUGGGGUGCUCCCACCCAUCCACACUGCUCCCCGCCACCCCGGCUUACAACAGAACUUUGAAUCUAGUCUCUGUGCAAUUUCCCCCCGGCUUCUCUGGCUGAUCAAGUUGAAAUGAAAUUAGGGAACAUCUACCUUGAUAAAGGAAGGUAGGGAAGAGGAUAGAGGAGGUGAGUGAAGGCAGAAGGAACAACAAGUAACAUUUACAGUCGCUGUUUAUUAUUGGUAUUUACUGGGAACCAGGCACAUAUAUUAUCUCGUUAAUCCUUAUAUCCACCCUGAAAAGAAGGGGUUACUGUUAGCUCCAUUUUACAGAUGAAGAGACUGAGGGUCAGAGAGGCAGUCACCUGUUGACGGUCAUCCAGUUAGGGCAUUCCCAGGCUGCGAUUUCAGAGCAUCCUUCUGCGCAUCCAAACUCCUAUUUACUGGGGACGUACCAGGUGUCCAGAACUUGGGAGGUUUGAGAAUCUGUGAGUCAUGAAACAGGCAGACCAGAGCUGGCCACAUUGGCUGAGGGGAGGAAGGGUGGGAAGACAUAUCCAGAGAUACCUAUGGGCAAGUAAAGGAUUUCAAGCCACUGUGCUGAGUAUCUGUAUUAAUUCAGUCAAUCCACACACCCACCUGUGAGUUAGAAGCUAUUAGCACGCCCAUUUUACAGAUAAGAAAACUGAAGCCCCAUGAAGAGAAAGGAUCCUACUGCUAGUAAGAGAAAAGCUAGGAUUCAAAGCCCGUGAUUUUAAAACUGUACUGAGGCUGGGCACGCUGACUCAUGCCUGUAAUCCCAGCACGUUGGGAGGCCGAGAUGGGUGGAUCACCUGAGAUCAGGAGUUCCAGACCAGCCUGGCCAACAUGGCGAAACCCCAUCUCUACUAAAAAUACAAAAAUCAGCCAGGUGUGGUGGCACACCCCUGUAGUCCCAGCUACUCGGGAGGCUGAGGUGGAAGAAUCGUUUGAAUCUGGGAGGCAGAGUUUGCAGUGAGCCAAGAUCGUGCCACUGCACUCCAGCCUGGGUGACAGAGUGAGACUCCAUCUCAAAACAAAACAAAACAAAACAAAAUAAAACAACCAUACUGAGUUUCAGAAAGUGAUGGUUAGUGGUGAUGAUGAUCACAGGUAGACAGUAUCACAUGCCUGUUAUUGGUCAGACACUGUGCUAAGUGCUCUUAUAGAUCACCUAAGUUGAUCUAUAAGAGCAAUUGAUCUUACAGAUCAUCUAAAUUCCUCAUCAACCAAAAGGAGAUAGGUGCUGUGAUCCCGCCCCACCUCCUUCCCCAUGGAUUAGGAAAAUGGGGCUCAGAGAGGAGGAGUGACUUGUUCAUUUGGGAUUGGAACCAAUUAUCUCACUGGAGAGUUGGUGCAAUUGAUAAGGAAGCCACCUACCUCCAUUGAAAGAUUAUAUAUAUUUUGUGGCUAACCCUACUUCUAGAAAGACCCUGGGGAGCUUCAAAGAGGUGCUGGCUUUGGAGCUGGGUUUUGAAGAUGGAAAAGGUUUCUUCCCUCCCUCUUUCCAUCUUUCCUUCCUUCCAUAUUUGAGUAUGUGCUAUGUGCCAGGAGUGUAGCGGUGGAUGAGAGAAGCAUGCUUCUUGCCCUCAUGAACUCAUCUUAAGUCUGCAACAACACCACCAUUAUCCCCAUUUAGCAGGUGUGGUGACUGAGGUGCUGAUAACUUGGGCAAGGCCACCCGGCUAAUCCAAGAUGGAGACAGGACUGAAACUCAGUGCCAUCCCACCUUGAACCUUCUGUCUGAGAGGGUUGCCUGCAAGGAACUGAUGGGGAUGCCCCAGGAGGGAUGGGACCCCCAAAUGAGAGCAUGCAGAGUGGGUGCUGAUGAGAUGUGAGGAUCACCCAGGAGCACUGCAGUAGGGCCUGGGUAGGAGGUGGGAAGAGGAACAGUGAGGACAUCUCUGUAUUUGGAGAAGCCGCCAUGAUGGAGUCAGCCAACCUCACACCUAAUUCUGGGGUUCCCAGGAUAGUGGAAUUUCCUAACUCUUCUCUGCCCCGUUCCCUCACGGGAAGAAAUUUGCCAGAGAUCGUAAUAGGCAUGGGGGCAGACAGACCUGAAUUCAAAUGCUGGUUCUGGGUAAGUGAUUUAAAACUGCAGAUUUCUCAUCAAUGACAUGGGCAUAAUAACACCAGCUUUCAAGUGAGAGCCUUGGGGGCUACUGAAGGUAAGUUACACAUGCUUCGUAAACUGUAAAGUGUUGUGUGGAUGUGAGGUUCUGGUCGUUAUCUGUUCAUGUGUCUGUCUUCACUACACACUUUGAGCACCCAGUGAGCAAAGCCCUUGUCUGACUCCAUCCUGUAUACAGUUGGUGCUCAAUAAAUGUCAAAGGCAUGACCCGUUGUGUGGGUUAUAGUUCGUUUUGUUUAUUCCCUUUGGGAAUAGGUAGCUGACUGUGACCUAGUCUGGGACUUCAGGAGUGUUUCCAAGAUGAUUACUAAUAACAACAAGGUCAACAGCUUAUUUUAUGAAGCACUUUAUAUGUGUUUGGUUCAUCUCAUCCUCACAGCAACCCCAUGAUAUAUAUACUGGUGUCAUCCCUACUUUACAGAUGAGGAAAGGGAGAUGUUGUAUUACUUGCCCAAGGUCACACAGCACCUAAGUCGGGGAGGUGGGACUCAAAUCUCAGUUUGGGUCUUUCCGACUCCCAAAUGGGGCCCCCCCAACCACUGGGGGACCCUGCUGCCAAAGUUUCCUGUCCCCAGGCCUGGAUAGAAGACAGAACAAUGUGGAGUCUGUUGUCAUCUGGGCACUCACAUCCACUAAUAAUACAGUCAAUUGCUCCUUUCAAAUUACAGUAAAUGUUUCCCCCCUUUGAACAAAUCAUUUACCGCAACUGCAGAAAGAGUGUCCUGUUUACAUGCAGGGCCAAAGGAAUUCCAAUCUGAGUCUAAUUAUCGAUGCUGAAGCUUCUGUGGCCUUGGGAAAGAGCUGCCUAAUUGCACCAAUUAAUACCUGCCACUCGUAUGGGCUUCGUCAGGUUCAAGGUUUGGUUUUCUUCCUCUGCGGGUUGUGGGGACGAGACGGGUUAGUGCAGCCACUGCGGGUUCAGAUCUCCAGACCAUGGACUGGGUGCACAAAGGGAUUUUGUUUUCAGGCUAUUGCCAUUUUUGGAGGGGGCAGCUUUAUUUGGGGCCACCCAGGCACUUGGCCAGACCUCACCGUGGCAGGGACUGCCUUUUGCAGGAGAAUGAGGGGCCUGAGGGAUGAGGUUUCCAGGUUUCCUGUUGCGACUCUGACUCACACUGAGAUCCUCGGCAGGGCGGGUCUCCUGCUGGAGCCCCAGUUUCCCCAUGCAGAAAUGGGAAGAUUUAUGGGAUCAGAUGUAACAUCUGCAAUUGCAGUGCAAACCCAAUGAGGCUAGACAGGCUGAGGAAUUUUUACUAAAAACGGGAGGGCAGCAGUUGGGCGGCAGGUGACCCAGGCUCUAGCCUUGGCUCCACCUGUUACUUUCUGUGUAGCUUUAAAACAAUACCUUUGCCUCUCUGAACCUCAAUUUCCCCAGCUGCAAAAUGGGGAUGAUUCCACCUUCUCUCUCUGAUGCUUGUGUGGAAACCUUGCAAAGAACAUCUUGGCCCAUAAAUAUGGAGGCUGUGAUCAUCCCAUGGUGCUGAUGAGUUGCUUGAUGAAUUGCCGUAUUGGAAGAGGAAAACCGUCAGGAACUGGCUGGGUGGCAGAUAGGGUGCUGGGUGGGAGUGGGGAGGCAGAGAAAAGUUCAUGGGCUUUUACAUGAAACUGGGUUUGAAUUUUACCUCCAACUCUUCUGAGCUCUGUGGUCUUUGAUAAUAACAAUUACAAGAAUCUGUAUUGAUUUUUGCUGCGUAUCAGUCUCCCCACCUGUAUAAGGAGCUAAUGGUAACUUCUUCCAAGCAAACAGGUUGCUAGGAUUGGGCAAGAUUAGUUAUAUGAGACGGAAGGCCCAUAGUGUGGCACCUGAGAGCCACAUGGCCACAGAAGCUACAAUUCUACAUGAAUGGUGUGGAUUGGGAGACUCAGCCAUUGUCUCACCCUCCCAUUCAUUUGAACUCCAUAAGGACUGGUGGGAAACGUGGCUGUUUACUUUUCUAACAGGUAAAGCAGGGGAGUGGGUUGGGGCCAUUUUCAUUCUCCCACAGCCCCCUUUGCUGAAGAUUCCCAAUCUUUGAUUUCCCCAGCACCCCUGGGGUUUGCAGUCCCACCUGAGUGCGUUUGGGAUUGUUUUCUGAUGUGACAUAUUGUCACCGUGCAUUAUGUGUCAUCAGCCCCACAAAGCAGCGACAUCAGAGCCUGAUGCCACACGAUCGACAAAAAGAUGUGGGUCCCCCAGGGGGUCUCGGGCCUUGACAGGAGCCCUGCCACUUCCCCCCACCUGCCUUCCACGCGGAGCCCCUCUUCUGCUUCUUGGCAAAGCCUACAAGGCCCCAAGGGGGUGGGACUCUGCAGGCAGGGCCUUGGCUCACAUGGGGAUGAGCUUGAUGUCCUGGUGCCUGACACAUGCCUUGUAUGAGGUCCCCAAAUUAAAAGAAACAAAGCUCCUUUGUCAAAGGCAGCCUGAGCCUGGUGGGGAGACAUGGCAGAGCUCUGGAGUGCAGUGACUGACUGAUUUCCUCUAAUUACCGUUGGUUUAAUAUUUAUAGGGUUGGUGCCAGAGGGCUGCAAGGGAGGUAUUCAGCCCGAACGGCAGCUGUUGUAGGGCUUGGUGGAGGGCACUGAGCAGGGAAAUGUCUGCUUGCAUUUAGGGUCCCGGUGGAUCAGACCCAACUGGUCUUUCCCUGGCGCCUUCCCGAAGCACAGAAAGCAUCUAUUUAUGUAGUACAACCUAUGUGCCCUGUGCUGGGCUUAACCCCUGACAGCUUGGAGGCCCCCAGGGCCAAGUAGUUCAAGGUGGGGGCUCUGGAGUCAGAUGGACCUGAGUUUCUUAUUCAAGUUUGACAUAUUCCUGGCUGUGUGCUCUUGGGUAAUUGACCACACCUCUCUGAGCUUCAGUUCCCUUACCUAUAAAAUGGUGGUAACAAUAUGCCUCACUCAUAUGAUUGUUGUGAAGAUCUAAUGUAAAACACACAAGGUGCUUAACAUUGCUAGCACAUAGUUGUGUUCAAUAAGUAGUAGCCAUAUCUAUGCUUCAAUAGACAUAUACUUUGUAGGAUGGAACCUCUGUAUCAGCUAGCCAUGUUCUCAAUGAUGCUGUGUAACAAACUGGCCCAAAACUUGGUGGCUUAAAACAAUCACUGUUUAUUCUCAUAGAUUUGUGGUGUGGCUGAGGGUGGGUUCAUCUAGACUGGACUCUGACGGGUGGCUCUGCUGGUCUUAGCUGGACUUGCUCAAGCAGCUGGGGCUCAACUCAAUGGCUGGACUCUCUGUAUAACUCUCUCCUACUUCUGGAACUAGCACUGACCUCAACAUGUUCUUCUUUUGGCCUUGGCUCGGGUGUGGAACAUUAUUAUUUCUGAAUAGAUAUCGAAUCUAUCCUUCUCCCUAGCAUUUCUGUGGGGGAGAAAUUAUCAUUCCCAUUUUCUUGAUGGGGAAACAGAUUCUGAGAUAAGAAGCCACUGAUGGUGGAGCUAAGAUCUGAACAUUGAAAAGACCACAUUCUUCUCAACCACCAGAUUCUCUGAGCCACCUUCAAUUACAAUAGCAGGUACCAUUUAUUAAACACCUACUAUAUGCCAAGUGCUUUGAAUAAAUUAUCUUUUAUCCAAAGACAACCUUUGGUACUGACAUGCCCAUUUUACAGAUGGGAAAGCUGAGGCUCAGGAGCUGAAUACAUUGUCUAAGAUCUCAUAAGGAAUAAGUAAGUGACAGACUCAAGACUGGAACACACGGCCAGGAGUGGUGGCUCAUGCCUGUCAUCCCAGCACUUUGGGAGGGCUGAGGCAGGAGGAUUGCUUUAGCCCAGGAGUUUAAGACUAGCAUGGACAAGAUAGUGAGACCUAGGUCUCUAUCUUGAAAAUAAAAAUUAAAAAAAGUUUAAAAAAGAUUAGAAUGCAGAUCUCUCUAACCCCAUGCCAACAUGCCUUUGUAUUUGAGGUUCCCUUUGCCCGAACUGUCCUGGUCUCUCUUUGUCUCUGUCGCUUUCUGGAACCAGACUAUAUAUUCAUGACAAUAAUAAGUGUUCAGUAAAUUAUAAUGAAUAAUAGAUACCAUGUUUAUAAACUGAGGUGGUUCCAUCCCCAUUUUAAGGAUGGGGAAACGGAAUCACCAAGAAGUGAGGUCUCUUGCCCAGGUCACAGAGCCAGAAGUGGUUCUGCAGCACAGAAAUAGCCCUUGAACUCUGCUCUGCAAUGCUGAGCUAUUAAGAUGGAGGUAAGUUGCUGUGUGUUGUGUAAGGACUUGGCUCUCUCUAGCUUCCCUUGCUCCUCCUUUUGGCCUGCCUACUCCCCAUCUGAUUAAUUGAUACCUUUCUGCACUGAGGUAUCUGCCUCCAACUGGCUGUCCUGUCUCCCACGCCUUUCCCUCUUCCAUGAAAGCCUGCUUCUUCCAUGUCCCAUUGCUUGUGGUCUUGCUGGGGGCAGGAGCUUAUCUGACAAGGUAAUGUGAGCCACCUUGGGGUGCAGGGCUGAGGAUGGCAUCUCUUAUGAACUUCUCUCCUGACCCCCAUGGAGCUAAACUGGGUGGAUGUUCCCCUCCAGCUCCCUGAGCCUUGGUUCCCUCAUCUGCAAGAUGGGGAGAAACGUAGCUACUCAGAGGGUUGCUGUUAGUGUCAAAUGUGCAUGCAACUGUUUUUAGUACAGUGUCUGGCAAAGAGUAAGUGCUCAAUAAAUGUAAGCUAUUGUUAUUGUCAGUCAGGCCCUACAAUAUUUUUUUCACUUGGAGGAAAAUAAAAAAAGCUAAAAAUUAUGGAAGCCAGCCGGCUGAAGUUCCUGAGCCAUCAUUCUGCAGCCUGAGAAAUUAUCUAAACUCCGUCACCGAUUCAGGGAUGCAGAGAGGAGGCAGAGACUCUAGAGAGGAAUGGUGCCAAUGUUCUGUUCAACACCCUUUUAUUUUUUACAAGCUGAAGGUUCAAAGCUGCCCAGGGGUGCUGUCCUAGCCACACGGCCCAUUACUGAGGGGCUGAGGCCAUUCUUGUCAGUUUCCUCUUUCUCUCAUGCCCCCUUGGGCUGUAGUUGGGGCUCUGUGUGGUGUCCCAGGGAAUAGCAGCAGAGCUCUCCCUGAGUCGAGAGAGAGCCAGAGAAAACUGCCAAAGCAAUUCUCAGCAAAAUCCCUAGGGAUGUGUGUCAAGGACAAAAUAGUGUGUCCCAUGGGUAAAUACAGUUAACACAGCUGCAAAACAGAAUUUAUUUCUUGUUUGAGAUAUCAUUUUUAAAGUAUGGCAUAGGGAGAGCUUUAAAUAUGAAAUUAUAGCUGGCAAUAAAAGAACCUCAUAGGCACUGUAUUCAAAUUAUGCUGUAGUAAUAGGCCAAGUUCAUAAAUAAACAUUGCUUGUUAACCCUUUGCUGAGCGCCGUGGGCCAGGUGGCUGGGACAAGGUUGGGACAAGGUUGGGACAGGGCUGGGAGAGGCAGAAAUGGCAUGACCUUCCAAGUGUCCUUCGGGCUGCCCCCUCCAACUUUCUCCACCCAGCCUCUUCAUUCUGGUGUUAAAGAUCAACAGAUUAUUCUCUGAUAAAAUGAGAGGCCUGGACUAUCUACUGGCUUUGCAGAAAUGUACCACCCAGACCUCUGAGCUGGGAGUAUUUUAGGAUCUGAAUUAAAUAGGUCCAUCCUAAAGCUCCCUGCAUUUCUGACCUCCU
RNAcentral lists this long non-coding RNA (33493 nucleotides) under Homo sapiens (human). RNAcentral's name for it is "non-protein coding lnc-CRYBA4-52:68". Lineage: Eukaryota; Metazoa; Chordata; Mammalia; Primates; Hominidae. The record is from RNAcentral.